RNAcentral lists this ribosomal RNA (851 nucleotides) under uncultured bacterium. Its description in RNAcentral is "bacterial SSU rRNA". It matches the Rfam family "Bacterial small subunit ribosomal RNA", at positions 25 to 866 of the family's 1533-position model. The record is from RNAcentral.
CAAGAUGAACGCUAGCGACAGGCCUAACACAUGCAAGUCGAGGGGCAGCGGAGAGGUAGCAAUACCUUUGCCGGCGACCGGCGCACGGGUGAGUAACACGUAUGCAAUCCACCUGUAACAGGGGGAUAACCCGGAGAAAUCCGGACUAAUACCCCAUAAUAUGGGCUCUCCGCAUGGAGGGUCCAUUAAAGAAAGCAAUCUUGGUUACAGACGAGCAUGCGCUCCAUUAGCCAGUUGGCGGGGUAACGGCCCACCAAGGCGACGAUGGAUAGGGGUUCUGAGAGGAAGGUCCCCCACAUUGGAACUGAGACACGGUCCAAACUCCUACGGGAGGCAGCAGUGAGGAAUAUUGGUCAAUGGUCGGCAGACUGAACCAGCCAAGUCGCGUGAGGGAAGACGGCCCUACGGGUUGUAAACCUCUUUUGUCGGAGAGUAAAGUGCGCUACGCGUAGCGUAUUGCAAGUAUCCGAAGAAAAAGCAUCGGCUAACUCCGUGCCAGCAGCCGCGGUAAUACGGAGGAUGCGAGCGUUAUCCGGAUUUAUUGGGUUUAAAGGGUGCGUAGGCGGCACGCCAAGUCAGCGGUGAAAUUUCCGGGCUCAACCCGGACUGUGCCGUUGAAACUGGCGAGCUAGAGUGCACAAGAGGCAGGCGGAAUGCGUGGUGUAGCGGUGAAAUGCAUAGAUAUCACGCAGAACCCCGAUUGCGAAGGCAGCCUGCUAGGGUGCGACAGACGCUGAGGCACGAAAGCGUGGGUAUCGAACAGGAUUAGAUACCCUGGUAGUCCACGCAGUAAACGAUGAAUACUAACUGUUUGCGAUACAAUGUAAGCGGGACAGCGAAAGCGUUAAGUA